UACGAAGGAGGCUAGCGUUGCUCGGAAUUACUGGGCGUAAAGCGCACGUAGGCGGCUUCUUAAGUCGGUGGUGAAAUCCUGGAGCUCAACUCCAGAACUGCCUUCGAUACUGGGAAGCUCGAGUCCGGGAGAGGUGAGUGGAACUGCGAGUGUAGAGGUGAAAUUCGUAGAUAUUCGCAAGAACACCAGUGGCGAAGGCGGCUCACUGGCCCGGUACUGACGCUGAGGUGCGAAAGCGUGGGGAGCAAACAGG
This 253-nucleotide ribosomal RNA is filed under the name uncultured bacterium. RNAcentral's name for it is "partial 16S ribosomal RNA". It matches the Rfam family "Bacterial small subunit ribosomal RNA", at positions 524 to 776 of the family's 1533-position model. The record is from RNAcentral.